GGGUCUGUAGCUCAGUUGGUAGAGCACACCCCUGAUAAGGGUGAGGUUCGGAAGUUCAAGUCUUCCCAGACCCA
Molecule: transfer RNA, 74 nt
Filed under: Coxiella endosymbiont of Amblyomma americanum
Lineage: Bacteria; Pseudomonadati; Pseudomonadota; Gammaproteobacteria; Legionellales; Coxiellaceae
Rfam family: tRNA
About the family: Transfer RNA (tRNA) molecules are approximately 80 nucleotides in length. Their secondary structure includes four short double-helical elements and three loops (D, anti-codon, and T loops). Further hydrogen bonds mediate the characteristic L-shaped molecular structure. tRNAs have two regions of fundamental functional importance: the anti-codon, which is responsible for specific mRNA codon recognition, and the 3' end, to which the tRNAs corresponding amino acid is attached (by aminoacyl-tRNA synthetases). tRNAs cope with the degeneracy of the genetic code in two manners: having more than one tRNA (with a specific anti-codon) for a particular amino acid; and 'wobble' base-pairing, i.e. permitting non-standard base-pairing at the 3rd anti-codon position.
Source: Rfam by way of RNAcentral